RNAcentral lists this ribosomal RNA (253 nucleotides) under uncultured bacterium. Its description in RNAcentral is "partial 16S ribosomal RNA". It matches the Rfam family "Bacterial small subunit ribosomal RNA", at positions 524 to 776 of the family's 1533-position model. The record is from RNAcentral.
UACAGAGGUCUCAAGCGUUGUUCGGAUUCAUUGGGCGUAAAGGGUGCGUAGGUGGUGACGCAAGUCUGGUGUGAAAUCUCGGAGCUUAACUCCGAAAUUGCACCGGAUACUGCGUAACUCGAGGACUGUAGAGGAGAUCGGAAUUCACGGUGUAGCAGUGAAAUGCGUAGAUAUCGUGAGGAAGACCAGUUGCGAAGGCGGAUCUCUGGGCAGUUCCUGACACUGAGGCACGAAGGCCAGGGGAGCAAGCGGG